RNAcentral lists this ribosomal RNA (253 nucleotides) under uncultured bacterium. RNAcentral's name for it is "partial 16S ribosomal RNA". It matches the Rfam family "Bacterial small subunit ribosomal RNA", at positions 524 to 776 of the family's 1533-position model. The record is from RNAcentral.
UACGGAGGGUGCAAGCGUCAUCCGGAUUUACUGGGUUUAAAGGGUGUGUAGGCGGGUCUAUAAGUCAGUGGUGAAAUCUCCGGGCUCAACCCGGAAACUGCCAUUGAUACUAUAGGUCUUGAAUAUUGUGGAGGUGGGCGGAAUGUGUCAUGUAGCGGUGAAAUGCUUAGAGAUGACACAGAACACCGAUUGCGAAGGCAGCCCACUACGCAACUAUUGACGCUGAGGCACGAAAGCGUGGGGAUCAAACAGG